Molecule: ribosomal RNA, 253 nt
Filed under: uncultured bacterium
Lineage: Bacteria
Description: partial 16S ribosomal RNA
Rfam family: Bacterial small subunit ribosomal RNA
Source: RNAcentral
AACGUAGGUUCCGAGCGUUAUCCGGAUUUACUGGGCGUAAAGCGCGUUCAGGCGGUUUGGCAAGUCGGGCAUGAAAUCUCUCGGCUCAACCGGGAGAGGUUGUCCGAUACUGCUGGACUUGAGGGCAGUAGAGGGUGGUGGAAUUCCGGGUGUAGUGGUGAAAUGCGUAGAUAUCCGGAGGAACACCAGUGGCGAAAGCGACUACCUGGCCUGUUCUUGACGCUGAGGCGCGAAAGCUAGGGGAGCAAACGGG